UUUAUAUAGUUUAAUUAAAACCUUAUAUUUUCAUUGUAAAAAUAAACAAAUCGUUUUAUAAAUAU
This 65-nucleotide transfer RNA is filed under the name Cautires sp. UPOL VK0529. RNAcentral describes it as "tRNA-Glu". RNAcentral also lists the same sequence under 1 other name. The record is from RNAcentral. Lineage: Eukaryota; Metazoa; Arthropoda; Insecta; Coleoptera; Lycidae.